GGUUCUCUUCCGAUCUACACAAUUCAUUCUUUGUAGCUAAUUAAGCUGAAGAAGCCUGGGAAUAAAGUUUGAAACAAGAUUAAUAAAGUUCUUUGCCUAGU
Molecule: long non-coding RNA, 101 nt
Organism: Lynx canadensis (Canada lynx)
Lineage: Eukaryota; Metazoa; Chordata; Mammalia; Carnivora; Felidae
Exons: 3
Source: RefSeq, a predicted model, not a curated record